Molecule: small nucleolar RNA, 98 nt
Organism: Ochotona princeps (American pika)
Lineage: Eukaryota; Metazoa; Chordata; Mammalia; Lagomorpha; Ochotonidae
Source: Ensembl
AUCUGGCACCCAGUAGCGAUGAUAAGAGAGUAUAGUAACCCCAACACAUUGCCAGGAUACUGCGCUGUGCUGCUGGCACUGAAGCAGCUUGCACAGUG